Molecule: long non-coding RNA, 2298 nt
Organism: Parus major (Great Tit)
Lineage: Eukaryota; Metazoa; Chordata; Aves; Passeriformes; Paridae
Exons: 2
Source: RefSeq, a predicted model, not a curated record
GUUGUUCAGAAUAAAGAGGAAAGCUGAAAUGUUUCUGCAUAUAACAAUGCAUGCUAAAUUACAUGUACAGAGCAUGUGGAUUUACAAAAUACACGAGUCUGUAGUGGCUCAUUGAAAAAAAGGCCCAUGAUGAGAAAAAAGGCCUUGAGGUUUUAACUUUAUCAGAAGAAAGAAGUUACAAUUUGAAGUUGUGUUCUAAUCCACCUGUGGGGUAGCACAUAGUGCAUGAAGUUGUUUGCCAGAGCCCACAAUAAUGAAGCACAUUCCAAAGCUUUGGAGGACACAGUUAAGAAAGUUGCAUCACAAAGAUUUCACCUAUCAAACUUGAAGCCAACACAAAGCUGUGCCUGUGAACAGGCAGAAUAACAGCCUCACUUACCUGGUGAUCCUGCUGUCAUGAAAAAUGAAAAUGUUUCCUGAAAACUGCUUUCCUAGUUGAAGAAGUCAUAAACAGUUAAAAUGAGCUGAGAAGACACCAGAAGCCAUAAAUUGGCAGCCAUGUCUGUCUUUGUUAAUGCAUGCACCUGGACUUUGUGAGGAAUAAAUAUUUUAGCAGAGGAAACUGCCACUCUGAACUGCAAAACCCUCCUUUCUUCUUCUUCUUCACCCCAAAGGAACAUUUGCAAGUGCUCCCACAGAAAUGAUUGAAUAGUUGAAGCUGUACAAAUACCUGCUCGUCCUGGUAAGCCUGGCCAGCCGGGAGUUCCCUUUUCACCUGGAAAUCCAGGUGUCCCAGGGCUUCCUUGUUGCCCUGGGGGGCCAACCAGUCCUGGCAAACCUGUGUGGCAACAAUGAAUCAUUGCUCAUGAUCAUCCUUAAAACCAACAGCCCAAACAGAGACUUGUGCUACUUUCAUUUUCCCAGGCAGCAAAAUGAAGACUUUCCCUUCCUAAUCUCAUUGUGACUGCUCAUCCAAGUGCAAGAAAACUAAAGAGAGCACAGGUAGGAGGGACAAAGUACAAAAGAACAACUCAUUACAAACUUCAGGUUUGUGACAACCUCAGAAAGACAGUGAGCUCCUCCUAUUAAAAUGAUAACUUGACUUAUAUUGCGAGUUACAAGAAGAGAUUUCACUGCUGUGCAUGUCACUUUCCCUUUCUGCUGUACCUGUUUUGCCUUUCCCACUGAGAAGCUGUUCACACAAGAACUGUUUCCCAGCAAGGCACAUAUCAGAACUCUUCCAGUCUUGGCUGGAGUUUCUAAGCCCUCUAAUGAGAGAAGUGUGGAGCAACUGUUCUGAACGAGCAUUUCCAUGAUCCUCCUACAGUAAGACAUGUUCUUAAGCCCUGAGUGUAUGAUCCAGCCACAACUUAACCUGACUUGGCUUCUCUUGUACAGUUGGCCCAUCAGCCUGGCACAAAGGCUCUGUAACUGUCCUGGGGGAUACUGACUUCAUUUAUGGCAGAAAAGGUCAUUGAAAAGCCCACUCCUUGUAGUACUGAGACAUCAGAAUACUUGAGUUUGCCAUCAAUACAACACUUUGGACACAUGGUUACUACAGAGAAGGAAAAACAGGUAUGAAGUAGAGUUAGGUUUUUGCUAUUUCCUCUUCUGCCAUGAGUUCCACAUCCUUGUCACUGCUCCUCACCAAUUUACAGAAUGAUGAACAUAUUAAAAGACUUAAUUACUUUCUUUUGAUGGAAAGAAUAUUUUUUUCCCUCUCUUAAACAAUGUUAUUCUUUGGAGUGUUAAAAAGAAUAUUUUACCUUCCUGUCCCACAGAGCCAGGGACACCCUGUGUGCCCUUGAGACCUUCAAUGCCAGGGAAACCAGGAUCACCACCUUCUCCUUUUGGUCCCACACCUCCUCUUAUGCCUGGAAAACCACAAAACCAGUAUAUUCUUUUCAUAAUAUCUAUACAACCUUAAACAAAUAAGCAUAACAUGAACUUGGCUAAUGAAUGGGUCCUGGUCUUGCCACAUAAAGACAUUCUUCUAGUCAGGGUGCUUACACAACCUGGGAGCAUGAACAGUCCUCUGGUCAAAUGAUCAUUAUAGUUUUUUUUAAAGGACUCCCCAAAUGAUGUGGAAUAUGACAUGGAUGUUCAAGUAUGCUGCAUGUAGAGGGAAAUUUAACACAUUACUGACAACUCGAUCCAAAAUCUACAAGACUUUGCUAUCUCACCUUCUACAAUCGUGGCCUGAUAAUGCUCCUUUUGUCAUCAACAACAAAACAAAUCAUAUAGAAAUGUUUACUGGAGCUGCCUGUGAUGAUGCCUGUUUACUGCUAUAAUGGUACUUUCAGUUGAAGAGGUAAAUGCAGCACAUAUUAAUUUCAAUAAAGAACAGAUUAACCUCUC